GUCUGUAUAUUGAUGAGGAUGUUCACUGGUCCGAGACAAUCGCUUCCUGAGCGACAUGAAUCACCGGAUGCGAGAAUCCUGGAGUCGUGGAAACAUACUGAGGACUGUUGAGUCCCGUUUCGCAAUCUGGCGGUGUGACGGACAGGCGUGGGUUUGGCGAAUGCGAGGAGAACGUUACCUGCCUGACUGCAUUGUGUCAUUUUUUUUUUGCUGCGAGAGAGGUUCACGAUGCAGCUUUGUUUUUCUUCAGGUUAGCUUAGGCCAAGGGUGUCAAACUCAAUCGCACAAAGGGACAAAACUCCAAGCGCACUUUUAGGUGAAGUGGCCAUGACAUCUGGGGUCUCACCGUGCAGGAACUUGUGUACUGUGCACCCUGGCCCAAGCAGAAACGCCACGCAACCGAGACGAGAGACGCCACCGCACGACCCAAACAAAACAACGGCAUCGCUCUCGGCAACCCCAUCCAAGCAAGCGCAGACCCCCUGGCUUCACUUCAAGUUCAUCAGCAAAUGGACCAUGGUUCAAAUUGACUCUAUUCUAUAAGAUGGACUACGGGUGUCUGAAGGGUGUGGCCCUUUUCUUCGGACGGGGCCAGAGGUGGGGCAGCCAGUGCUCGGCCUGACUGAAGCGAGCGUACGACAGCACAAAGGUUCACGUGGUGGUUCUUCUUCUUGGUUUCUGACUUGGUCACACCAUGGCCAAAAGCGCUGGAAUAGCGACGCUACUGGCACGGAAUGCAUUGUGCUACUCGAAGAUGACGUACACACUGCACGGUGAUAUCAUACCUAAUGUACAUUAUUUUAUUUUUUCAUGUAUUCUUCACAUCACCGCAACAAAACGCGACUCUAAUGUGAAUGGAACUUGUCUGCGAGGUGGCUCGCGUGCACACAAAGCACGACGUUGAGUGACAUGCACAAAAGAAGAUGACGUCAAGCGGCGGCGU
This is a long non-coding RNA of Hippocampus comes (tiger tail seahorse), 943 nucleotides long. RefSeq lists it as uncharacterized. The transcript has 3 exons. Lineage: Eukaryota; Metazoa; Chordata; Actinopteri; Syngnathiformes; Syngnathidae. The record is from RefSeq and is a predicted model, not a curated record.